CUCCACGAGGAUCGCCCGCCUCGAGGAGCCCCACGGGAUGCCCUGAAAUCUCCUUGAGCAUGCUUCCCUCUACCUCUUUGAAGAGGUCUAGACAAUCUUGCUCUAACCUUUACCUUGCUUUCUCCUUCGCCGAGCUCAGUAUUAUUAAUGCCUUCAGCACAUGCAACUGCAGCUUCGUGUGUAUCAAAAGUAACAAAUCCAAAAUCCUUUCUCUUGG
Molecule: unclassified non-coding RNA, 217 nt
Filed under: Hevea brasiliensis (rubber tree)
Lineage: Eukaryota; Viridiplantae; Streptophyta; Magnoliopsida; Malpighiales; Euphorbiaceae
Source: RNAcentral